Molecule: non-coding RNA, 31 nt
Filed under: Mus musculus (house mouse)
Lineage: Eukaryota; Metazoa; Chordata; Mammalia; Rodentia; Muridae
Source: RNAcentral
UNCAAGGCGAUUCUCGGUGACUAUUCUCAAC